UACGUAGGGGGCUAGCGUUGCUCGGAAUCACUGGGCGUAAAGGGUGCGUAGGCGGGUCUUUAAGUCAGGGGUGAAAUCCUGGAGCUCAACUCCAGAACUGCCUUUGAUACUGAAGAUCUUGAGUGCGGGAGAGGUGAGUGGAACUGCGAGUGUAGAGGUGAAAUUCGUAGAUAUUCGCAAGAACACCAGUGGCGAAGGCGGCUCACUGGCCCGAUACUGACGCUGAGGCACGAAAGCGUGGGGAGCAAACAGG
Molecule: ribosomal RNA, 253 nt
Filed under: uncultured bacterium
Lineage: Bacteria
Description: partial 16S ribosomal RNA
Rfam family: Bacterial small subunit ribosomal RNA
Source: RNAcentral